UCCGGUUUGACACCGGCAGUCUCGCUAGAGUCCUCGCCAUUACGCGUUAGCAACUAACGACAGGGGUUGCGCUCGUUAAGGGACUUAACCCGACACUUCACAGCACGAGCUGACGACAGCCAUGCAGCACCUGUGCAUGUUCCAUUCUUGCGAUUGUCAUUGAUGUUUCCACCAACUAAUCCAUGCAUGUCAAACCCAGGUAAGGUUCUUCGCGUUGCUUCGAAUUAAGCAACAUGCUCCACCGCUUGUGUGAGCCCCCGUCAAUUCCUUUGAGUUUUAGCCUUGCGACCGUACUUCCCAGGCGGUACACUUAACAAUUUCUCUCCGACCGGUACCGGGUCAAACCGGCACCGAUCUAGUGUACAUCGUUUACGGCGUGGACUAC
Molecule: unclassified non-coding RNA, 385 nt
Filed under: uncultured Phycisphaeraceae bacterium
Lineage: Bacteria; Pseudomonadati; Planctomycetota; Phycisphaerae; Phycisphaerales; Phycisphaeraceae
Description: contains 16S-23S intergenic spacer region
Source: RNAcentral